AGUAAAUAGAUACCCAGGUAGUCCACGCCGUAAACGAUGAGUACUAGGUGUAGGAGGUAUCGACUCCUUCUGUGCCGCAGUUAAACACAAUAAGUACUCCGCCUGGGAAGUACGGUCGCAAGAUUAAAACUCAAAGGAAUUGACGGGGCCCGGCACAAGCAGCGGAGCAUGUGGUUUAAUUACGAAGCAACGCGAAGAACCUUACCUAGACUUGACAUCUCCUGAAUAGUGUAGAGAUACAUGAAGCCCUUCGGGUCGAGAAGACAGGUGGUGCAUGGUUGUCGUCAGCUCGUGUCGUGAGAUGUUGGGUUAAGUCCCGCAACGAGCGCAACCCUUACUUACUAGUUGCUACCAUUAAGUUGAGCACUCUAGUGAGAC
Molecule: ribosomal RNA, 378 nt
Filed under: uncultured bacterium
Lineage: Bacteria
Description: bacterial SSU rRNA
Rfam family: Bacterial small subunit ribosomal RNA
Source: RNAcentral